UGCCUUUAUAGCGGGGGAUAACUAUUGGAAACGAUAGCUAAUACCGCAUAACAAUAGAGAUUGCAUAAUCUUUAUUUGAAAGUGCCAACUGGUACACUAUGAGAUGGACCCGCGUUGUAUUAGCUAGUUGGUAGUGUAAUGGACUACCAAGGCGAUGAUACAUAGCCGACCUGAGAGGGUGAUCGGCCACAUUGGGACUGAGACACGGCCCAAACUCCUACGGGAGGCAGCAGUAGGGAAUCUUCGGCAAUGGACGAAAGUCUGACCGAGCAACGCCGCGUGAGUGAAGAAGGUUUUCGGAUCGUAAAACUCUGUUGUUAGAGAAGAACGUUGAUUAGAGUGGAAAAUUAAUCAAGUGACGGUAUCUAACCAGAAAGGGACGGCUAACUACGUGCCAGCAGCCGCGGUAAUACGUAGGUCCCGAGCGUUGUCCGGAUUUAUUGGGCGUAAAGCGAGCGCAGGUGGUUUAAUAAGUCUGAUGUAAAAGGCAGUGGCUCAACCAUUGUGUGCAUUGGAAACUGUUAGACUUGAGUGCAGUAGAGGAGAGUGGAAUUCCAUGUGUAGCGGUGAAAUGCGUAGAUAUAUGGAGGAACACCGGUGGCGAAAGCGGCUCUCUGGACUGUCACUGACAC
This 632-nucleotide ribosomal RNA is filed under the name Pseudolactococcus chungangensis. RNAcentral describes it as "bacterial SSU rRNA". It matches the Rfam family "Bacterial small subunit ribosomal RNA", at positions 127 to 746 of the family's 1533-position model. The record is from RNAcentral. Lineage: Bacteria; Bacillati; Bacillota; Bacilli; Lactobacillales; Streptococcaceae.